This 683-nucleotide long non-coding RNA is filed under the name Homo sapiens (human). RNAcentral describes it as "non-protein coding lnc-MUC19-1:7". Lineage: Eukaryota; Metazoa; Chordata; Mammalia; Primates; Hominidae. The record is from RNAcentral.
CCAAAAUGCCAAGAAUCCAACAGUAUUCAUUUAGGAGUCAUGUUACCAACCAUAAUACUUCAAAAACCUCUAUUUCAAACAGCAUCCAAGCACUUUCCUUGUCAAAGCUACAGGAUAUAAUGCAAAACAAAAACAAAAAACUUCUGUAUUUAUCCUUUAAACGAUUCCUUAUUGCCCAUUAUCCUUAUUGCCCAUUUUUCUUAUUUUUAUUGCCCGUUUUAAUAAAAUAACAUGCUUUAUUUUGUAGCACUGUAACAAAAUUAUUGGAACCUACUUUGAGAAAUGUGGAAAGGUUGCUGCUCUAUCCAAUGACUACAAAAUGAUCUGCAUUGAUGAAUACUGCCAAACUAGAGACAAAACAUCUACAUGUGACACUUAUUCAGAACUGUCCCGCCUCUGUGCCUCAGAUGGUCCUGGCACCUUUGAAUCCUGGCGAAGCGACUCCGAUGUGGUUUGUGGAACACAAAGAUGUCCAGAACAACAUAUCUACAAAGAAUGUGGACCCUCCAACCCUGCAACUUGUUCUAAUGUGGCUCCUUUUCAAGACAGUGAAUGUGUGAGCGGCUGCACCUGCCCAGAAGGUUAUCUGUUGGAUGACAUUGGAGAGAAAGGAAAAUGUGUAUUAAAAGCUGAAUGUCCCUGUGAAUCCAGUGGAACAGUGUAUCAGCCAGGAGAAGUCCGAG